RNAcentral lists this long non-coding RNA (1680 nucleotides) under Sus scrofa (pig). RNAcentral describes it as "lncRNA (ENSSSCG00030012082.1)". Lineage: Eukaryota; Metazoa; Chordata; Mammalia; Artiodactyla; Suidae. The record is from RNAcentral.
CCUGAGGAAAAGUCUGUUGCGGGCUUGUUAAGACGUCAUGGGGGCAGCCAUCUUGCCACCAGACUGAGGACCGCAUAGCAGAUGCAGAGGGAACCCGGGUCCCAAAGGAUGUCGUUGAGCUUCCACGUGCCCAGGACCUGGCAGCUACUCAGCAUCUUGUGCUCUGGUUGUUUGGCUUUUCUCCGGAGAAGACCAUGAGAUGAGGAUUAGAGGCUCAGCCCGCCAAACUUUCGGAGCCGCCAGUGAGGCAGCGCCAUCUGCUGGUCAUUUUUUAAAUUGCGAUCCCAUCUUCCCCGGGUCCCGCCUCCCUCCAGAAGUGACCUAUGGACAGGGGAAAAAGAAACAUUUCUAGAUCCUUCAGUACGAUAAAAAUGACCAAGAAGACUAUGAAAUAUGUUCAGACUCGCCAGAAACGAGGAAAUGCACAUUAAGCCACGGACACCACUUCUUGCCAUCACACUGAAAAUAGUUUAAAAAUGCUAAUAUCCCAUGUUAGUUAUAGAAGUUGCAGGGAAAUAGACAUCUCUCAUUCAGACUGAGCUGGUGGAGGGGUAGGUUAGUGCAGACUCUCCAGAGGGACAGAAAUGAAUGUUAUCAAAAUCACAAUGAGUGUGUAAGAUUCAGAAAAACCACUGCUAGAAACUGCCUUAAGAGAACACAAAUAUAAAAAAGACAUUGGAUCAAGGCAUUGGCUGCACUGCUGCCUGAAGGCAGGAAAAUCUGGAACCUUACAAGACAGUUAAAAUAACAGUGGCACGUGCAUUAGAAUACAAUGUUCUUAAAAAUAUACAGAAAAUUGAAUCCUUCUCUAAUCAUAUGUUAUCACACAGUACACUAUAAAGGUGGGUAUAUUUGUCCAAACCUAUAGAAUGUACAAGGGCCAAGGGUGAAGCCUAAUGUAACUAUGGACUCUGGGUGACAAUGACAUGUCACUAUGGAUUCAUCAACUGUAACAAAUGGACCCCUCUGGUGGGGGGUGUCAAUUGUGCAGAGGCAAUGAUGUUGGGGGGUAGGGGGCAUGUGAGAAGUAUCUGUACCUCCCAGCCAGUCUUGCUGUGAACCUAAAAGGCUACAAAUGAACUUAUUUGCAGAACAGAAACAGACUCACAGACUUUGAAAAAUGUAUGGUUAUCAAAGGGGACCCAUGGGGUAGGGGAGGGAGAGACAGGGGGUUUGGGAUUGGCCUGUGCACACUGAGGUCUGUGGAAUGAUUGGCCAAUGGGGACCGGCUGCAUAGUGCAGAGAACUCCACCCAGUAUUCUCUGAUCAUCAGCAUGGGUGCAGAAUCUGACAGAGAAUGGAUGUGUGUACAUGGAUAACGGAACCACUUUGUUGUACAGCAGAAAGGAUCACAGGGUAAAUCAACUAUACUUCCAUCAAACUUUUAAAAAUGCAAAAAGAAGUAACUACAACAACAACAAUUUUUUUUUUUGAAAAGUGUAUUUAGGAGUUCCCUGGCGGCCUAGUGGUUAAGGAUUGGAUGUUGUCACUGCUGUGGGCUCGGGUCACCGCUGUGGUGCAGGUUUGAUCCCUGGCCUGGGAACUUCUGCAUGCCAUGGGUGUGGCCAAAAUAAAUAAUUUUUGAAAAUUUAAAAGUCUAUUUAAAAAUGUAAAAAGCACAGAGUUCUAUCAUGGCUCAUCGGGUUAAGGACUCGGUGUAGGCGCCAUACGGAUGUGGGU